Molecule: ribosomal RNA, 648 nt
Filed under: uncultured fungus
Lineage: Eukaryota; Fungi
Description: eukaryotic LSU rRNA
Rfam family: 5.8S ribosomal RNA (bases 282-435)
Source: RNAcentral
UCUCUUGGUCAUUUAGAGGAAGUAAAAGUCGUAACAAGGUUUCCGUAGGUGUAUCUGCGGAAGGAUCAUUACUAGAGCAAAGGAUAGACACUACCUUACCUCGGUAAGAGUUUAGAGUCGUCGGGCCUCUCGGAGAAGCUCGGUCCUGAACUCCACCCUUGAAUAAAUUACCUUUGUUGCUUUGGCGGGCCGCCUCGUGCCAGCGGCUUCGGCUGUUGAGUGCCCGCCGGAGGACCACAACUCUUGUUUUUAGUGAUGUCUGAGUACUAUAUAAUAGUUAAAACUUUCAACAACGGAUCUCUUGGUUCUGGCAUCGAUGAAGAACGCAGCGAAAUGCGAUAAGUAAUGUGAAUUGCAGAAUUCAGUGAAUCAUCGAAUCUUUGAACGCACAUUGCGCCCUCUGGUAUUCCGGGGGGCAUGCCUGUUCGAGCGUCAUUAUAACCACUCAAGCUCUCGCUUGGUAUUGGGGUUCGCGGUUUCGCGGCCCCUAAAAUCAGUGGCGGUGCCUGUCGGCUCUACGCGUAGUAAUACUCCUCGCGAUUGAGUCCGGUAGGUCUACUUGCCAGCAACCCCUAAUUUUUUUUAAGGUUGACCUCGGAUGCAGGUAGGGAUACCCGCUGAACUUAAGCAUAUCAAUAAGCGGAGGAA